UUUUUAUUUUCCUUUUUGUAAUAAAUGGUUCUUUUGGGUACAAAAACUAGUAAAAACCACGUUUGUGUUAUCAAUGUCAUGACUAAGGAUUUUUACAACAAUCUAAAAUUGGACGUUAAUACCACUACACUGCAUUCUCAAUUACCAACCACAACUAUACUGGGACAAUCUCCGGUUCAACAGGCGAUGAUGAUCCAUCAUCUUGUGCGGUUUUUGACUCAGCGCUAUCUUUGUUCUCUUCUUCGAAUCCUUGCUUGAACCUGUCAUAGUUUGUGGCCUCAACACUCGUGAAUGGGCGUUCACCCAAUACCUGGAUCAGAUCUUCUUGGUGGAGGACUUCCUUUUCAAGCAGCAUUUCUGCAAUCUGAGCCACAUGUUCUCUGUGUUCCUCCACGAGUUGUACAGUACGGUCAUAUGCCUUGGCUACCCAUUCUCUAACUUCAGUGUCGAUAAUUGCUGCUGUCUUGCUACCAUAAGGCUUUGCGUCAAAUGAAUCUUCUCUUUGUGGAAACGAAAGGAGACCAACCUUGUCACUGAAACCAUAUACUGCUACCUGGGCAUAAGUCAUCUUGGUGACUUUCUCUAAAUCAUUUUGAGCUCCAGUCGAGAUCUUCCCAAUCAAUACCUGCUCAGCAGCUCGGCCACCGAGAGUCAUGCAUGUCAUAUCAAACAGUUGUUCUUUAGUCAUUAGAAGGUUCUCACUAGGAACAUACUGAGCAAAUCCAAGGGCUGCUGUACCACGGGGAACAAUUGUCACUUUAAGUAAUGGCUCUGCAUGUUCCAA
This 784-nucleotide unclassified non-coding RNA is filed under the name Hevea brasiliensis (rubber tree). The record is from RNAcentral. Lineage: Eukaryota; Viridiplantae; Streptophyta; Magnoliopsida; Malpighiales; Euphorbiaceae.